This 1016-nucleotide long non-coding RNA is filed under the name Vigna radiata. RNAcentral's name for it is "long non-coding RNA (VRAD_LNC010128)". The record is from RNAcentral. Lineage: Eukaryota; Viridiplantae; Streptophyta; Magnoliopsida; Fabales; Fabaceae.
UAAUUUAGAGAUUGGUGACCUUCUGGGAAGUUUUCCCGAAAAAUGUACGAGUGAGGACAAAGCAUAUUUUCACGAUUCAUCCGCCUCUCUUUCUCUCUGCUUACUAAUUAUCUGUUAGGGUUUCCUUCUUACUAUCUCCCGUGCCCUCUCUUCCUAGGUUCCCUUAAUAUACUACUCACAACCCACUUAACCCUAAUCUCUCCAAAAGACCGAAAAAAUCUCUCUUCAUUACUUUAGAUAUCACACAUUAAAACCUGACCAAAAAUUCCCCUUUUAAUUUUCAAUAUUGUUUCCUAAAAUAACAUGAGCGUUUAUGAUUAUGAGUUAAUGUACUAUUCUUAUUUUUAUUUCCUUUUCUAACAGAAUUUGGAUAUUCCAAAGCCAUGCAUGAGAAUUGCGCAUAGUAUUUUUUAGAGAGAAAGAAAAUUUGGAUAGUGAAAGAGAGUGGUAGGUUACGUCCAGGGGAGGUUUUCCUAGUUGUUUUUUUAUAUAUAUGUAUAUAUAUACUUGGAGAGCGUGAGAGGAAUUUGUGAACAUUUAAUAGCGUGGGACCAUGGUGGUUGAAUAAGGAUGUCCAUUUCUUUAUUUGAAGUUUGAAUGUUUUAAAUUUUUUGGUUACAGAGGGGAAACUUUCGUUACUUUAGAAUUCACAGUUUUUUUUUAUUGGUAGAUUAUUUUUUUAGGAUUAGUUUGGGGAUCCACGUGUGUACAGCGUUUGCGUUGGGUUAUAAAUUUUUGGACGUUGCCUUUAGAUAUUUUAAGUAUGGGUUAAAUGUUAAUGUCUUCGUCUGUGGUAUUUUUUUUUUUUUUUAGAUUCUAGGUGUUUAACUUACAACCUUAGAUCACUUUCUGCUCUGCUUCAGUUCCUUUACAUAUAAAUCCAGAUGUGAGAGUACGGCCGCGACUUGAAUUCAUUAAGCUUACUUUCUUUAUUAAAUAGAGGGCUUGCGCAGGAUGUGAUUGAGCUUCUAGCAGUUUUAGAGUAUGGUGUGAUUUAAUACUGAAUCAGUGUUGAU